UGGCACCAAGUUGUUACCUUAUUGGUACAGAAAUAUUUUACAUAAAUCAAAACUAUAUAUGUGAAAUUCAUGCUGUAAUUCAGGUGGGAUAACAAACAAAAACAAAAAAACACCAAAGAGUAAAACCGGAAAUGGAAUUACGUCACUUCCUGUUCGUCAGUUGGUCUCCUGCUUUGAAAUUGAGGCAAUCGUUUUCAGCCGGAUGGUUGCCCCCUGUGCGAGUGGAAGAUGUGACUUUGAAGACAGUCAUUGUAAAAGGUGCAAAAGGCUUGUCUAAGAUAAGCUGGCAGUCUACACCGCAUGGCCUGCGUUGCUGACAUUGAGUGAAGUUAAUGCAGAGUUCCUGUGCCUGACAGAUACUUGAGGAAGCAUCUUGGAGGUUCUCAAGGAGAAGGGAGGUGUUGCCAGAAGGAAGGACUAGAGUGGCGAAGUGAUCCAAAGGCAGACUGCACAUCUACGUGUAUGGUUUGCAAGGAACAUCCCGUGCCAGAGACUGUGAUACAAGGCAUGGAGCUGUACAGUGAACUCGGAGCAUCUCUUGUGCAUGUGUGAUGCUCUUUGGACUCGGUUACCGGUAUAUACCCUCAAUCUCAACUCUGUGGAUUUGGAUUUACAAUUUUAAGUAUCCAGAUGAACUGAAAUAUAUGUUCUGGUGAAUUUGGAAAUCAAUCACUAUAAACUACAGUAAAUAUGUUGGACACUGGCAAUCUCAGGUUCUAAGACAUUGUAUAAAAGGACAAUCCAUCACAUUUCUAUGCAUACUUUUAUGUGCUGUUCUCUGAUCUGAGUUGAUGAUUUUUUUUGUCCUUAUCUUAGCUCAGCAUGGCAUUGAGUAUCAUUGAGGGUUUUUUUUCUAAGCAUUUUCUAUGCAGAUUAAAAGAUGAGUAGCACUUCAUGGACACAUUGAUAUCAUAAUUAAAAACAUUUCUCUCUCCCUCUCCUCCACCACUUUGGGAAAGAAUCAAAGAGCCAAAAGUGAUCCUGCGGGCAGUUGGUCAAUUCUAAAAUGUCCAUUCACAAAUAACAUCUUUUUCAUGAAUGUCUAAGUAAAUAAGUGAGUAAAUAGACACAUACUGUUCUGUUGAGAGUAUGUUUUUCGGCCAAAGAUAUCUGACUGCAUUCAAAAUGGUGGAUUAACAUGCAGAGGACCCCACUAUUAUUAAUUUGCCCAAGCGAUUAUGACAUUACUUAGAAUUUGAUGGUGGUUGUAAGCAUUCAUGAAAAAGAUGACAUUUCUGAACAGGCCACAUAAAUUAAUGUGGUACAGUACACUGAUAAUUUCAGGUUUUCUGUUUAAUUUCUGUUUAAUCAUACGAUUAUAUUGUCUAGAUUUUGGUGCUUUAUUAUCGUUUGACUGCAUGUUUGUCCAGCUGAUGAAAUAUUAAUAAAAGAAAUGUUUUGAA
Long non-coding RNA from Engraulis encrasicolus (European anchovy), 1403 nucleotides. RefSeq lists it as uncharacterized. The record is from RefSeq and is a predicted model, not a curated record. The transcript is spliced from 5 exons. Lineage: Eukaryota; Metazoa; Chordata; Actinopteri; Clupeiformes; Engraulidae.